This is a long non-coding RNA of Passer domesticus (house sparrow), 435 nucleotides long. RefSeq lists it as uncharacterized. Lineage: Eukaryota; Metazoa; Chordata; Aves; Passeriformes; Passeridae. The transcript has 3 exons. The record is from RefSeq and is a predicted model, not a curated record.
CCUCGGCCUCGGUUAAAUUCCUCAUUCAGAGAGACAAGCGUGUAAUUGUGGAAGUCAGUUUCUCUACAAGAAAAACAGAGCCAAACCCAAAGUAAAUCUGUGGGGAGGGGCAGAGGGACCAUUGCUGAUAUCAACACCAGACAAAGUAUGCAAAGGAAGCAGCUCUCAGCCCUAGAGCAGCUUGGGCUUGACUGUCUCAGGAACCAGAAAGCAGGGAUGGUGGAGCUUUGUGUCUCUCCCUAUGCCCAGCUUCCUGGCACCACCAGCAGAAGACAGAACAUCUUCGUGCAGAGCCACAGAGGCUGAGCAUGCACCAAGGCAGCUGCACGAACAGCUAAAUCAAGGACAGCAAAAACUCAGAGUGGUAGCAAGAAAGUUGGCAUCCAUCAGCAUGCAUCUGGAACUUUUCUGGCCUGCCCAGUAGUAAGAGUAAUA